UACAACUUUCAACAACGGAUCUCUUGGCUCUCGCAUCGAUGAAGAACGCAGCGAAAUGCGAUACGUAAUGUGAAUUGCAGAAUUCAGUGAAUCAUCGAAUCUUUGAACGCACCUUGC
Molecule: ribosomal RNA, 117 nt
Filed under: uncultured Russula
Lineage: Eukaryota; Fungi; Basidiomycota; Agaricomycetes; Russulales; Russulaceae
Also listed under: 1 other name
Description: 5.8S ribosomal RNA
Rfam family: 5.8S ribosomal RNA
About the family: 5.8S ribosomal RNA (5.8S rRNA) is a component of the large subunit of the eukaryotic ribosome. It is transcribed by RNA polymerase I as part of the 45S precursor that also contains 18S and 28S rRNA.
Source: RNAcentral